AGUGUCUCCAGCUUACCGGGACCACGUUAUGUGCCUAAGGACAUCUAGCCAAGGGGCUCAUGAAACCCCUAGACUCCCACCUCCACAGACUAUUUGUAUUAUAUGAAGGUUGGACCAGCCCUGAGAGGAAGCUGUAGUAUCUUUUAACGGAUCCAUCCAUCUCAGAGGUGUACCGUUGCAGUGGACGUUGGAUGUUCCUGCUCAAAAGAUGCUGGGAAGGGCCAGCUGGAGGUCAGCUAUCCAGUAAAUAUAGGAACACCACCUGCAGACAGCCUCACCCGGGCUGCACCACACCAUGGGAGGUCACAUCACCGGAGGUGUUCACGUGCAUUCCCACAAGGCCUGCGGAUCUCCAUCGCUGUAUCAUUCACUGACUAUACUGUUUGUGGCUUUGGGCCUGAAGUUCCUCCGGGCCUCAUCUUUACAUACCUGAAUCAAAUCCAGUGUUGGGUCACAUGAGGCAGAUGGGGCACUGACUUUCUAAUGAACUCUUGAAUGUAGCCUUGGAUGUCUUCAAGAGAAGCAAAGCCACCAAGAAGUGUGACAGUGAUGUGAAGGACCCAGCACCUUAUUUAUGAUCCCGAACAUCUACUAGACAUCACACACUCAUCUGGGACAAGAAACUGUCCCAACAAAAUGCUUUGUUCCUGACUAGAAUAGAAUACUCUUUAAUAGCACCAGGUAUUUUAUAGGGAACAAAAUCUAUAACUGACAUGGGA
This is a long non-coding RNA of Mus musculus (house mouse), 719 nucleotides long. RefSeq annotates it as RIKEN cDNA D830044D21 gene. NCBI's taxonomy places the organism in Eukaryota, Metazoa, Chordata, Mammalia, Rodentia, Muridae. The record is from RefSeq and is marked validated. The transcript has 2 exons.